AAGACCUUUGCGCUUUUGGAGCGGCCGAUGUCUGAUUAGCUAGUUGGUGGGGUAAUGGCCUACCAAAGCUUCGAUCAGUAGCUGGUCUGAGAGGACGGCCAGCCACACUGGGACUGAGACACGGCCCAGACUCCUACGGGAGGCAGCAGUGGGGAAUUUUGGACAAUGGGCGCAAGCCUGAUCCAGCCAUGCCGCGUGAGUGAAGAAGGCCUUCGGGUUGUAAAGCUCUUUCAGCCGGGAAGAAAAGGUUGCGAUUAGUAAUCGCAAUUGAUGACGGUACCGGAAGAAGAAGCACCGGCUAACUACGUGCCAGCAGCCGCGGUAAUACGUAGGGUGCGAGCGUUAAUCGGAAUUACUGGGCGUAAAGGGUGCGCAGGCGGUUUUGUAAGUCAGAUGUGAAAUCCCCGGGCUUAACCUGGGAACU
RNAcentral lists this ribosomal RNA (424 nucleotides) under uncultured bacterium. Its description in RNAcentral is "bacterial SSU rRNA". It matches the Rfam family "Bacterial small subunit ribosomal RNA", at positions 202 to 622 of the family's 1533-position model. The record is from RNAcentral.